Molecule: long non-coding RNA, 728 nt
Filed under: Salmo salar (Atlantic salmon)
Lineage: Eukaryota; Metazoa; Chordata; Actinopteri; Salmoniformes; Salmonidae
Description: lncRNA (ENSSSAG00000111547.1, ENSSSAG00075015497.1)
Source: RNAcentral
AGAUUGAAAAAGGCAGCGAAAACAAAACACACUACAGGACGUAGAAAACUUCCCCCCCAAGAAGUCACAGCAUGCCACAUCUGCAUCCAGCUCUGCAGGAUCAGGUGCUGUGUAGGCUAUUAGCUAAAAUAAGGUGCAUUCUUGUACACACAUCCCUAGAGGUUCCCUUACAUUACUUAAUGACCACAAUCUGUUGUCGUUCUAGACGAUACUGAAAACAAAAUGCACGGCGAACUGGGAGCUGUGAACUGGGUAUGUAGUCUACUGUGUGUAAUGCUGAAGGCUUGAUGCAUGGUGAACUGGGAGCAGUGAACUGGGAUGCAGAUGUUCUUCUAAGGGACACCCUAGAGGCAGCAAGGUGGUGUGAACUCCAAACAUUUAAAGGCACUGUUUCCCUCCCUAGUGUAAUUGAGAUGGAGGGGGAAGACGCAUUACAACCCUUAAAGAACUACGGUUGUAUGAUGGACUGGAUCAAUAUUCUCCUCAAGGAACCAUUCAUGUUCCAGUUACAGAGAGAUUAUGAGAUGUUCUAUUUGGAGGCAGUUGACAACAAGACAAUUACUGUCUUUAUCUCUUUUGAGGAGCAGGAGUGAAGCCAUUUUUGAGGAGUGGUCAAACCUUGUUUUUGUAUGCUGUGCUAAUUGUUUCAAUUGUUAAUUAUGUUAUGUUGUUUAGUAAAGAUGACAUAGAAGUCACCCGAGUCUCUGAUCUCUUUACCGGAGCUGGUA